GUCGACAUCCGCGAGAUCCGCGAGGUGCGGGAGGGGCGGCAGUCACGUGACUUUGACCGCGUGGUGGAGGACGUGGACUCGUCCCUCUGCCUCGUCAUCCUCUACGGCUCCGAGUUCCGCCUACGCACCCUCAGCGUCGCCGCCCUGACGCGGGAGGAUGUGAAGAUCUGGCUGAUGGGCCUGCAGUGGUUUGUGGCCGACACACAGAAGUCCGCCACGCCCCUGCAGAUCGAACGGUGGUUGAGGAAACAGUUCUACUCGUUGGAUCGUAACCGCGGCAACACUGUGGGCAUGAAGGAGCUAAAAGUCUUCCUGCCAAAUGUCAACUUCAAGGUGCCCAGCAUGCGCUACCUGAGGGACAAGUUCGUGGUGGGUGA
Molecule: long non-coding RNA, 377 nt
Organism: Lethenteron reissneri (Far Eastern brook lamprey)
Lineage: Eukaryota; Metazoa; Chordata; Hyperoartia; Petromyzontiformes; Petromyzontidae
Source: RefSeq, a predicted model, not a curated record